Molecule: ribosomal RNA, 1000 nt
Filed under: Acinetobacter baumannii
Lineage: Bacteria; Pseudomonadati; Pseudomonadota; Gammaproteobacteria; Moraxellales; Moraxellaceae
Description: bacterial SSU rRNA
Rfam family: Bacterial small subunit ribosomal RNA
Source: RNAcentral
CGGCAAGGCGGCAGCUUACACAUGCAAGUCGAGCGGGGGAGGUAGCUUGCUACCGGACCUAGCGGCGGACGGGUGAGUAAUGCUUAGGAAUCUGCCUAUUAGUGGGGGACAACAUCUCGAAAGGGAUGCUAAUACCGCAUACGUCCUACGGGAGAAAGCAGGGGAUCUUCGGACCUUGCGCUAAUAGAUGAGCCUAAGUCGGAUUAGCUAGUUGGUGGGGUAAAGGCCUACCAAGGCGACGAUCUGUAGCGGGUCUGAGAGGAUGAUCCGCCACACUGGGACUGAGACACGGCCCAGACUCCUACGGGAGGCAGCAGUGGGGAAUAUUGGACAAUGGGGGGAACCCUGAUCCAGCCAUGCCGCGUGUGUGAAGAAGGCCUUAUGGUUGUAAAGCACUUUAAGCGAGGAGGAGGCUACUUUAGUUAAUACCUAGAGAUAGUGGACGUUACUCGCAGAAUAAGCACCGGCUAACUCUGUGCCAGCAGCCGCGGUAAUACAGAGGGUGCGAGCGUUAAUCGGAUUUACUGGGCGUAAAGCGUGCGUAGGCGGCUUAUUAAGUCGGAUGUGAAAUCCCCGAGCUUAACUUGGGAAUUGCAUUCGAUACUGGUGAGCUAGAGUAUGGGAGAGGAUGGUAGAAUUCCAGGUGUAGCGGUGAAAUGCGUAGAGAUCUGGAGGAAUACCGAUGGCGAAGGCAGCCAUCUGGCCUAAUACUGACGCUGAGGUACGAAAGCAUGGGGAGCAAACAGGAUUAGAUACCCUGGUAGUCCAUGCCGUAAACGAUGUCUACUAGCCGUUGGGGCCUUUGAGGCUUUAGUGGCGCAGCUAACGCGAUAAGUAGACCGCCUGGGGAGUACGGUCGCAAGACUAAAACUCAAAUGAAUUGACGGGGCCCGCACAAGCGGUGGAGCAUGUGGUUUCAUUUCGAUGCACGCAAGAACCUUACCUGGCCUUGGACAUACUAGAAACUUUCCAGAGAUGGAUGUUGCCUUCGGGAAUCUAG